RNAcentral lists this ribosomal RNA (465 nucleotides) under Vreelandella stevensii. RNAcentral's name for it is "partial 16S ribosomal RNA". It matches the Rfam family "Bacterial small subunit ribosomal RNA", at positions 338 to 795 of the family's 1533-position model. The record is from RNAcentral. Lineage: Bacteria; Pseudomonadati; Pseudomonadota; Gammaproteobacteria; Oceanospirillales; Halomonadaceae.
CCUACGGGAGGCUGCAGUGGGGAAUAUUGGACAAUGGGCGAAAGCCUGAUCCAGCCAUGCCGCGUGUGUGAAGAAGGCCUUCGGGUUGUAAAGCACUUUCAGUGGGGAAGAAAGCCUUGGGGCUAAUACCCUCGAGGAAGGACAUCACCCACAGAAGAAGCACCGGCUAACUCCGUGCCAGCAGCCGCGGUAAUACGGAGGGUGCGAGCGUUAAUCGGAAUUACUGGGCGUAAAGCGCGCGUAGGCGGUCUGAUAAGCCGGUUGUGAAAGCCCCGGGCUCAACCUGGGAACGGCAUCCGGAACUGUCAGGCUAGAGUGCAGGAGAGGAAGGUAGAAUUCCCGGUGUAGCGGUGAAAUGCGUAGAGAUCGGGAGGAAUACCAGUGGCGAAAGCGGCCUUCUGGACUGACACUGACGCUGAGGUGCGAAAGCGUGGGUAGCAAACAGGAUUAGAUACCCGUGUAGUC